RNAcentral lists this ribosomal RNA (202 nucleotides) under Helicotylenchus dihystera. RNAcentral's name for it is "partial 18S ribosomal RNA". It matches the Rfam family "Eukaryotic small subunit ribosomal RNA", at positions 1641 to 1831 of the family's 1831-position model. The record is from RNAcentral. Lineage: Eukaryota; Metazoa; Nematoda; Chromadorea; Rhabditida; Hoplolaimidae.
UUGAUUACGUCCCUGCCCUUUGUACACACCGCCCGUCGCUGCCCGGGACUGAGCCAUUUCGAGAAACUCGGGGAUUGUUGGUCUGUCAGCUCUCGGGCUGCCGUUCCGGCGAGAACCGAUUUAAUCGCAGUGGCUUGAACCGGGCAAAAGUCGUAACAAGGUAGCUGUAGGUGAACCUGCUGCUGGAUCAUUACCCACUGAC